This 449-nucleotide ribosomal RNA is filed under the name uncultured bacterium. Its description in RNAcentral is "partial 16S ribosomal RNA". It matches the Rfam family "Bacterial small subunit ribosomal RNA", at positions 29 to 523 of the family's 1533-position model. The record is from RNAcentral.
AGCGAACGCUGGCGGCAGGCCUAACACAUGCAAGUCGAACGAAGUCUUCGGACUUAGUGGCGGACGGGUGAGUAACACGUGGGAACGUGCCUUUAGGUUCGGAAUAACUCAGGGAAACUUGUGCUAAUACCGAAUGUGCCCUUCGGGGGAAAGAUUUAUCGCCUUUAGAGCGGCCCGCGUCUGAUUAGCUAGUUGGUGAGGUAAAGGCUCACCAAGGCGACGAUCAGUAGCUGGUCUGAGAGGAUGAUCAGCCACAUUGGGACUGAGACGCGGCCCAAACUCCUACGGGGGGCAGCAGUGGGGAAUCUUGCGCAAUGGGCGAAAGCCUGACGCAGCCAUGCCGCGUGAAUGAUGAAGGUCUUAGGAUUGUAAAAUUCUUUCACCGGGGACGAUAAUGACGGUACCCGGAGAAGAAGCCCCGGCUAACUUCGUGCCAGCAGCCGCCGUAA